Molecule: ribosomal RNA, 424 nt
Filed under: uncultured prokaryote
Description: bacterial SSU rRNA
Rfam family: Bacterial small subunit ribosomal RNA
Source: RNAcentral
UGGGGAAUCUUAGACAAUGGGCGCAAGCCUGAUCUAGCCAUGCCGCGUGAGUGAUGAAGGCCCUAGGGUCGUAAAGCUCUUUCGCCUGUGAAGAUAAUGACUGUAGCAGGUAAAGAAACCCCGGCUAACUCCGUGCCAGCAGCCGCGGUAAUACGGAGGGGGUUAGCGUUGUUCGGAAUUACUGGGCGUAAAGCGCGCGUAGGCGGACUAUUAAGUGAGGGGUGAAAUCCCGGGGCUCAACCCCGGAACUGCCCUUCAUACUGGUAGUCUUGAGUUCGAGAGAGGUGAGUGGAAUUCCGAGUGUAGAGGUGAAAUUCGUAGAUAUUCGGAGGAACACCAGUGGCGAAGGCGGCUCACUGGCUCGAUACUGACGCUGAGGUGCGAAAGUGUGGGGAGCAAACAGGAUUAGAUACCCCCGUAGUCC